Molecule: ribosomal RNA, 1452 nt
Filed under: uncultured organism
Description: SSU rRNA
Rfam family: Bacterial small subunit ribosomal RNA
Source: RNAcentral
GGCGGCAGGCCUAACACAUGCAAGUCGAGCGGUAGCACAGGGAGCUUGCUCUCGGGUGACGAGCGGCGGACGGGUGAGUAAUGUCUGGGAAACUGCCUGAUGGAGGGGGAUAACUACUGGAAACGGUAGCUAAUACCGCAUAACGUCGCAAGACCAAAGUGGGGGACCUUCGGGCCUCAUGCCAUCAGAUGUGCCCAGAUGGGAUUAGCUAGUAGGUGGGGUAACGGCUCACCUAGGCGACGAUCCCUAGCUGGUCUGAGAGGAUGACCAGCCACACUGGAACUGAGACACGGUCCAGACUCCUACGGGAGGCAGCAGUGGGGAAUAUUGCACAAUGGGCGCAAGCCUGAUGCAGCCAUGCCGCGUGUGUGAAGAAGGCCUUCGGGUUGUAAAGCACUUUCAGCGGGGAGGAAGGCGUUAAGGUUAAUAACCUUGGCGAUUGACGUUACCCGCAGAAGAAGCACCGGCUAACUCCGUGCCAGCAGCCGCGGUAAUACGGAGGGUGCAAGCGUUAAUCGGAAUUACUGGGCGUAAAGCGCACGCAGGCGGUCUGUCAAGUCGGAUGUGAAAUCCCCGGGCUCAACCUGGGAACUGCAUUCGAAACUGGCAGGCUAGAGUCUUGUAGAGGGGGGUAGAAUUCCAGGUGUAGCGGUGAAAUGCGUAGAGAUCUGGAGGAAUACCGGUGGCGAAGGCGGCCCCCUGGACAAAGACUGACGCUCAGGUGCGAAAGCGUGGGGAGCAAACAGGAUUAGAUACCCUGGUAGUCCACGCCGUAAACGAUGUCGAUUUGGAGGUUGUGCCCUUGAGGCGUGGCUUCCGGAGCUAACGCGUUAAAUCGACCGCCUGGGGAGUACGGCCGCAAGGUUAAAACUCAAAUGAAUUGACGGGGGCCCGCACAAGCGGUGGAGCAUGUGGUUUAAUUCGAUGCAACGCGAAGAACCUUACCUGGUCUUGACAUCCACAGAACUUUCCAGAGGUGGAUUGGUGCCUUCGGGAACUGUGAGACAGGUGCUGCAUGGCUGUCGUCAGCUCGUGUUGUGAAAUGUUGGGUUAAGUCCCGCAACGAGCGCAACCCUUAUCCUUUGUUGCCAGCGGUCCGGCCGGGAACUCAAAGGAGACUGCCAGUGAUAAACUGGAGGAAGGUGGGGAUGACGUCAAGUCAUCAUGGCCCUUACGACCAGGGCUACACACGUGCUACAAUGGCAUAUACAAAGAGAAGCGACCUCGCGAGAGCAAGCGGACCUCAUAAAGUAUGUCGUAGUCCGGAUUGGAGUCUGCAACUCGACUCCAUGAAGUCGGAAUCGCUAGUAAUCGUAGAUCAGAAUGCUACGGUGAAUACGUUCCCGGGCCUUGUACACACCGCCCGUCACACCAUGGGAGUGGGUUGCAAAAGAAGUAGGUAGCUUAACCUUCGGGAGGGCGCUUACCACUUUGUGAUUCAUGACUGGGGUG